CUGUUGAUGCCAUCUAACAUAUUAAACUAUAACCUCUGAUUACUUCAACUCAACAGGCUGAUGGGUUACUACAUACUACCUGUGGGACACCGAACUAUGUUGCUCCUGAGAUAAGGGCUAUGAUGGUGCGUUUGCAGACCUUUGGUCUUGUGGGGUAAUUCUUUUUGUGAUGCUUGCUGGAUAUCUGCCUUUUGAGGAUGACAACGUCUCAGCCCUUUAUAAAAAGAUCUCUGGAGCUCAGUUUACUUGUCCCUCUUGGUUUUCUGAUGGAGCUAAAAGACUGAUUCCCAGGAUUCUGGAUCCUAAUCCGUCAACU
Molecule: long non-coding RNA, 316 nt
Organism: Hordeum vulgare subsp. vulgare (domesticated barley)
Lineage: Eukaryota; Viridiplantae; Streptophyta; Magnoliopsida; Poales; Poaceae
Exons: 3
Source: RefSeq, a predicted model, not a curated record